This 253-nucleotide ribosomal RNA is filed under the name uncultured bacterium. Its description in RNAcentral is "partial 16S ribosomal RNA". It matches the Rfam family "Bacterial small subunit ribosomal RNA", at positions 524 to 776 of the family's 1533-position model. The record is from RNAcentral.
GACAGAGGGGGCAAGCGUUGCUCGGAAUUACUGGGCGUAAAGCGCACGUAGGCGGCUUUGUAAGUUAGAGGUGAAAGCCCGGGGCUCAACUCCGGAAUUGCCUUUAAGACUGCAUCGCUAGAAUUGUGGAGAGGUAAGUGGAAUUCCGAGUGUAGAGGUGAAAUUCGUAGAUAUCAGGAGGAACACCAAUAGCGAAGGCAGCUCGCUGGGACGGUACUGACGCUGAGGCGCGAAAGCGUGGGGAGCGAACAGG